GAGCGAGAAAAGGGGGGCAACUCCCUGAGUACAGCGGCGCACGGGUGAGUAACACGUGGGUAAUCUGCCCUGAAGUGGGGAAUAACACCGGGAAACCGGUGCUAAUACCGCAUACGAUCACGAUGUCUGCGGAUGUUGUGAUGAAAGGAGCAAUUCGCUUCAGGAGGAGCCCGCGGCUGAUUAGCUAGUUGGUGAGGUAACGGCUCACCAAGGCAACGAUCAGUAUCCGGUCUGAGAGGACGGUCGGACACACUGGAACUGAGACACGGUCCAGACUCCUACGGGAGGCAGCAGUGGGGAAUUUUUCGCAAUGGGGGCAACCCUGACGAAGCAACGCCGCGUGGGUGAUGAAGUCUCUUGGGACGUAAAACCCUUUCGACGGGGAAGAAACCGCAAGGUUGACGGUACCCGUAGAAGAAGCCCCGGCUAACUCCGUG
RNAcentral lists this ribosomal RNA (437 nucleotides) under uncultured bacterium. RNAcentral's name for it is "bacterial SSU rRNA". It matches the Rfam family "Bacterial small subunit ribosomal RNA", at positions 64 to 507 of the family's 1533-position model. The record is from RNAcentral.